GAUGAACGCUGGCGGCGUGCCUAAUACAUGCCAGUCGAGCGAACAGAUGAGGAGCUUGCUCCUCUGACGUUAGCGGCGGACGGGUGAGUAACACGUGGAUAACCUACCUAUAAGACUGGGAUAACUUCGGGAAACCGGAGCUAAUACCGGAUAAUAUAUUGCACCGCAUGGUUCAAUAGUGAAAGACGGUUUUGCUGUCACUUAUAGAUGGAUCCGCGCCGCAUUAGCUAGUUGGUAAGGUAACUGCUUACCAAGGCAACGAUGCGUAGACGACCUGAGAGGGUGAUCGGCCACCCGGUAACUGAGACACGGUCCAGACUCCGACGGGAGGCAGCAGUAGGGAAUCUUCCGCGAGGGGGGAGAGGUGGACGUAGCAACGCCGGCGGAGGGAUGAAGGUCUUCGGAUCGGAAAGCGCUGUUAUUAGGGAGGAUCAAAUGUGUAAGUAACUAUGCACGUCUUGACGGUACCGAAUCAGAAAGCCACGGCUAACUACGUG
RNAcentral lists this ribosomal RNA (497 nucleotides) under uncultured bacterium. RNAcentral's name for it is "partial 16S ribosomal RNA". It matches the Rfam family "Bacterial small subunit ribosomal RNA", at positions 28 to 507 of the family's 1533-position model. The record is from RNAcentral.